This 272-nucleotide ribosomal RNA is filed under the name uncultured Anoxybacillus sp. RNAcentral describes it as "partial 16S ribosomal RNA". It matches the Rfam family "Bacterial small subunit ribosomal RNA", at positions 1111 to 1382 of the family's 1533-position model. Lineage: Bacteria; Bacillati; Bacillota; Bacilli; Caryophanales; Anoxybacillaceae. The record is from RNAcentral.
UUAGUUGCCAGCAUUCAGUUGGGCACUCUAAGGCGGACUGCCGGCUAAAAGUCGGAGGAAGGUGGGGGAUGACGUCAAAUCAUCAUGCCCUUAUGACCUGGGCUACACACGUGCUACAAUGGGCGGUACAAAGGGUCGCGAACCCGCGAGGGGGGAGCCAAUCCCAAAAAGCCGCUCUCAGUUCGGAUUGCAGGCUGCAACUCGCCUGCAUGAAGCCGGAAUCGCUAGUAAUCGCGGAUCAGCAUGCCGCGGUGAAUACGUUCCCGGGCCUU